CAUCGCAUCCUGGGGCUGUAGUCGGUCCCAAGGGUUGGGCUGUUCGCCCAUUAAAGCGGUACGCGAGCUGGGUUCAGAACGUCGUGAGACAGUUCGGUCCCUAUCCGUCGCGGGCGCAGGAAAUUUGAGAGGAGCUGUCCUUAGUACGAGAGGACCGGGAUGGACGCACCGCUGGUGUACCAGUUGUUCUGCCAAGGGCAUCGCUGGGUAGCUAUGUGCGGACGGGAUAAGUGCUGAAAGCAUCUAAGCAUGAAGCCCCCCUCAAGAUGAACUUUCCCAUUCCGCAA
This 287-nucleotide ribosomal RNA is filed under the name Bacillus subtilis. RNAcentral's name for it is "partial 23S ribosomal RNA". It matches the Rfam family "Bacterial large subunit ribosomal RNA", at positions 2538 to 2824 of the family's 2925-position model. Lineage: Bacteria; Bacillati; Bacillota; Bacilli; Caryophanales; Bacillaceae. The record is from RNAcentral.